UACGGAGGGUGCAAGCGUUGUCCGGCUUUAUUGGGUUUAAAGGGUGCGUAGGCGGCCCGUUAAGUCAGUGGUGAAAGCCUCCAGCUCAACUGGAGAACUGCCAUUGAUACUGACGGGCUUGAGUACAGACGAGGUUGGCGGAAUUGAUGGUGUAGCGGUGAAAUGCAUAGAUACCAUCAAGAACUCCGAUUGCGUAGGCAGCUAACUAGGCUGUAACUGACGCUGAGGCACGAAAGCGUGGGGAGCGAACAGG
This 253-nucleotide ribosomal RNA is filed under the name uncultured bacterium. Its description in RNAcentral is "partial 16S ribosomal RNA". It matches the Rfam family "Bacterial small subunit ribosomal RNA", at positions 524 to 776 of the family's 1533-position model. The record is from RNAcentral.